GAAGCUGGAGGAUGGGACAGCAUACCAGCCGGGGUCCUAGGAAUUCCAUUCUCUGGAGCAGCUUGGCUGGCUCCUCUCAUUCUCAGCAUGAAACAGAAGGGACAGCGCCAGCAGCCCCUGGAGCCUGUAAGCUGGUGAUCGGGGUUUAAGGAUUUCAGAAGUAAUCCCAAGUGUCUGCAGUUAGCCCUGUCCCCUCCCCCUGCCUCUUUAGCCCAAGGACCGGCUCUCUGCUUGGAUCCUUCAGCCUCGGGGACCUCAGGGGACAACCAGCAAGUGAUGCCUUAAAGUUCCCUCUGCCCUUGACCUGCUUUCAAGUUAACAGGUCCUGCUCUCAAGAGGCUUACAUUCUCCUGGGGAUGUGACAUUUAUACAAGUGGACCAAUGAGUGGGGAGGGGAUUCUUCCUCCUUCCAUUCCCUCUAUUCCUACACCCCAAAGGAACACAAAGGAAGACCCCGCAUCAUGAGCAGCCUAUGCCAGCUCAGCUGAGCCUGAGAUAACACCUCUGGAUCUCCCCUGUUCAAGAAACUCCCGUGGCUCCCUAUUACCUCUCAGAGACAUUCAGAGCUCUCUGCCACCUGGCUCCGGAACACCUUUUGU
This is a long non-coding RNA of Dromiciops gliroides (monito del monte), 599 nucleotides long. RefSeq lists it as uncharacterized. Lineage: Eukaryota; Metazoa; Chordata; Mammalia; Microbiotheria; Microbiotheriidae. The transcript has 3 exons. The record is from RefSeq and is a predicted model, not a curated record.